RNAcentral lists this ribosomal RNA (588 nucleotides) under Triticum aestivum (bread wheat). RNAcentral describes it as "partial small subunit ribosomal RNA". The record is from RNAcentral. Lineage: Eukaryota; Viridiplantae; Streptophyta; Magnoliopsida; Poales; Poaceae.
AUGAGAGAGGGAGAGGCGGAGACGAGGCUGCCUGAGGCGGCCGAACUACCACCUCCGUCUCCUCGAUCCUCGCCGGGUGGCUGUGCAGGGGGUCACAUCAUAUCUGUCCGCUCUCCCAGUACCCUCGUGGCGGCGCCGUCCGGGGGAAAGGAGGGGCCGACGGGAACGGGCGGUGACCGUGGCGACCAGCCGCACGGUGAGAUCGGACGGGAGGAGAUACGAUGGGCACAAUGGCGGGCGAUCUUCUCCGACGGGACGGAUCCGGGCAUUUGGAUCGAAGGACGUCUUCGAUUCAAUCUGCAUUCGCGGUGGCUGGCUCUUCUCGAUCUGGAGAACGACGGCCUCGCCGGCGAUUAUCUCCCGGACGGCGACAUGAUUGAGGUAGGUUUUCAAUUCAAACUUGAUGUACAUGACGUAGUUGUUGGCGAAUGCGUGCAGCUGGAUUUACGACCGAAGGCAUCGGAGAUGAUCCAUCUGACGGAGCCGAUGGUCCAUACAGGACCGGGAGGACGUUUUUGGGCGCUUCUGGAGAGCGAGGACGAAGAACAGGUGGAGUGUCAUGCCCCCACCGUCACCACGGUCACCUGA